RNAcentral lists this long non-coding RNA (533 nucleotides) under Bos indicus x Bos taurus (hybrid cattle). Its description in RNAcentral is "lncRNA (ENSBIXG00005018322.1)". The record is from RNAcentral. Lineage: Eukaryota; Metazoa; Chordata; Mammalia; Artiodactyla; Bovidae.
UAACCAGUCGUCUGUAAAGGAUCAAUAUAGUUUGGGGUGCAGAUACAGGCCUUCCCCUAGGGAAACACUUGCAUCAGUAUUAGUGAGAGACCAAGUACACAUCUGAAGCAUUCCUGUGCUUUCUGUCCACUUGUCAGUGAAGUUGCCACGUAUGACUGUCCAUCAGCCAGGAGAUGAACCCCCACCCGUGAGGCAGUGACUCAAGGUGCAAGGGAGUCCGGCAAGAAGUGUGGCGCACCCGAGUUGCUGCCACUGCUUUUUGGAUCACCCAGCACGUGGCUGAAUUGCAACUCCUGUCACGUGCUUGAGUCUUGGAGGUCGCCAUGGACUAUGCUGUGGUCCUAGGCCUGCAUUCCUCCUGCAGGUUGGCCAGAGGCCCAGAGAAGAAUGUUUGUGCAGGUCUUCUGAAGUCUUCCUGAAAGCAUCCCUGGUGAUCUGUGAGCCCUUGGUCGUGUUGCCCGCCUUCUUCCUGUGGGUCUUGCUGGAUGCUCAUUGUCCCUGUGAGCCGAGCCCUGGAGGCUUCAGAUUUAGGU